Molecule: ribosomal RNA, 322 nt
Filed under: Salmonella enterica
Lineage: Bacteria; Pseudomonadati; Pseudomonadota; Gammaproteobacteria; Enterobacterales; Enterobacteriaceae
Also listed under: 2 other names
Description: partial 23S ribosomal RNA
Rfam family: Bacterial large subunit ribosomal RNA
Source: RNAcentral
GGGUUGUGAGGUUAAGCGACUAAGCGUACACGGUGGAUGCCCUGGCAGUCAGAGGCGAUGAAGGACGUGCUAAUCUGCGAUAAGCGCCGGUAAGGUGAUAUGAACCGUUAUAACCGGCGAUUUCCGAAUGGGGAAACCCAGUGUGACUCGUCACACUAUCAUUAACUGAAUCCAUAGGUUAAUGAGGCGAACCGGGGGAACUGAAACAUCUAAGUACCCCGAGGAAAAGAAAUCAACCGAGAUUCCCCCAGUAGCGGCGAGCGAACGGGGAGGAGCCCAGAGCCUGAAUCAGCAUGUGUGUUAGUGGAAGCGUCUGGAAAGG